AUUGAACGCUGGCGGCAGGCCUAACACAUGCAAGUCGAGCGGAUGAAGGGAGCUUGCUCCUGGAUUCAGCGGCGAACGGGUGAGUAAUGCCUAGGAAUCUGCCUGGUAGUGGGGGAUAACGUCCGGAAACGGGCGCUAAUACCGCAUACGUCCUGAGGGAGAAAGUGGGGGAUCUUCGGACCUCACGCUAUCAGAUGAGCCUAGGUCGGAUUAGCUAGUUGGUGGGGUAAAGGCCUACCAAGGCGACGAUCCGUAACUGGUCUGAGAGGAUGAUCAGUCACACUGGAACUGAGACACGGUCCAGACUCCUAAGGGAGGCAGCAGUGGGGAAUAUUGGACAAUGGGCGAAAGCCUGAUCCAGCCAUGCCGCGUGUGUGAAGAAGGUCUUCGGAUUGUAAAGCACUUUAAGUUGGGAGGAAGGGCAGUAAGUUAAUACCUUGCUGUUUUGACGUUACCAACAGAAUAAGCACCGGCUAACUUCGUG
This 484-nucleotide ribosomal RNA is filed under the name uncultured bacterium. RNAcentral describes it as "partial 16S ribosomal RNA". It matches the Rfam family "Bacterial small subunit ribosomal RNA", at positions 30 to 507 of the family's 1533-position model. The record is from RNAcentral.